UAGAGAUAGCUGGUUAUUUAGGAAACGAAUCUUAGUUCUACUUUAAAUCUUACUAUAAUCUCAAUAUAAUAAUAGAUUUAAAAUUUAUUCAAAUAAGGUACAGCCUAUUUGAAAAAGGAUACAACCUACAAGAUUGGGUAAUAUAACAAUUUAUAUAACCAAGUGGGCCUAAAAGCAGCCACCUUUUAAAAAGCGUCAUAGCUUUUCUACAUUAAUUACUAAUACUGAUUUAAACUCAAAACCCCUCAUCAAUACUAAAUGACUCCAUACCAUAUGGAAAACCUUAUGUUAGAACUAGUAACAAGAAUUAUUUCUCCACAAACGUGAAUGUAAGCCGAAACGAACCACUCACCGGCAUUUAUCGCCAACGAAUCUACAGUAACAACUAUUACAAGAAAAUCUUACUCUUUCAAGCGUUAACCUUACACUAGAACUUUCCUGGAAAGAUUAAAAAAGAGGGAAGGAACUCGGCAAAUAUUAACUCCGCCUGUUUACCAA
RNAcentral lists this ribosomal RNA (498 nucleotides) under Sphenophryne schlaginhaufeni (Wandolleck's land frog). RNAcentral describes it as "Liophryne schlaginhaufeni (Wandolleck's land frog) partial 16S ribosomal RNA". Lineage: Eukaryota; Metazoa; Chordata; Amphibia; Anura; Microhylidae. The record is from RNAcentral.